AACGCGAAGAACCUUACCUACCCUUGACAUGCCAGGAACUUACCAGAGAUGGUUUGGUGCUCGAAAGAGAGCCUGGACACAGGUGCUGCAUGGCUGUCGUCAGCUCGUGUCGUGAGAUGUUGGGUUAAGUCCCGCAACGAGCGCAACCCUUGUCAUUAGUUGCUACGCAAGAGCACUCUAAUGAGACCGCCGGUGACAAACCGGAGGAAGGUGGGGAUGACGUCAAGUCCUCAUGGCCCUUACGGGUUGGGCUACACACGUGCUACAAUGGUGGUGACAAUGGGCCAAUCCCAAAAAGCCAUCUCAGUUCGGAUUGGGGUCUGCAACUCGACCCCAUGAAGUCGGAAUCGCUAGUAAUCGCGUAACAGCAUGACGCAGUGAAUACGUUCCCGGGUCUUGUACACACCGACGGUGUGUACAAGACCC
This 426-nucleotide ribosomal RNA is filed under the name uncultured Rhodobacter sp. Its description in RNAcentral is "bacterial SSU rRNA". It matches the Rfam family "Bacterial small subunit ribosomal RNA", at positions 958 to 1412 of the family's 1533-position model. The record is from RNAcentral. Lineage: Bacteria; Pseudomonadati; Pseudomonadota; Alphaproteobacteria; Rhodobacterales.